Molecule: ribosomal RNA, 813 nt
Filed under: uncultured bacterium
Lineage: Bacteria
Description: bacterial SSU rRNA
Rfam family: Bacterial small subunit ribosomal RNA
Source: RNAcentral
UGCAUAGAGUGGCGAACGGGUGAGUAACACGUGGGGAACCUGCCCCUCUCCCUGGGACAACUUCGAGAAAUCGGAGCUAAUACCGGAUACUCCUUGCGGACCGCAUGGUCUGCUCGGGAAAGCUCCGGCGGUGAGGGAUGGCCCCGCGGCCCAUUAGCUAGUUGGUGAGGUAAUGGCCCACCAAGGCGACGAUGGGUAGCCGAGCUGAGAGGCUGAUCGGCCACACUGGGACUGAGACACGGCCCAGACUCCUACGGGAGGCAGCAGUGGGGAAUUUUGCGCAAUGGGCGAAAGCCUGACGCAGCAACGCCGCGUGCGGGAUGAAGGCCCUCGGGUCGUAAACCGCUUUCAGCAGGGACGAACGUGACGGUACCUGCAGAAGAAGCCCCGGCUAACUACGUGCCAGCAGCCGCGGUAAUACGUAGGGGGCAAGCGUUAUCCGGAUUUAUUGGGCGUAAAGAGCGCGUAGGCGGAUUGUUAAGCGAGAUGUGAAAACCGGGGGCUCAACCCGCGGUCUGCAUCUCGAACUGGCAGACUUGAGUCUGGUAGAGGAAAGUGGAAUUCCUGGUGUAGCGGUGAAAUGCGCAGAUAUCAGGAGGAACACCAGUGGCGAAGGCGGCUUUCUGGGCCGCGACUGACGCUGAGGCGCGAAAGCUAGGGGAGCAAACAGGAUUAGAUACCCUGGUAGUCCUAGCCGUAAACGAUGGGCACUAGGUGUGGGGGGUCAUCGACUCCCUCCGUGCCGAAGCUAACGCAUUAAGUGCCCCGCCUGGGGAGUACGGCCGCAAGGCUAAAACUCAAAGGAAUUGACGG